This 77-nucleotide transfer RNA is filed under the name Acidobacteriota bacterium. Its description in RNAcentral is "Acidobacteria bacterium (hot springs metagenome) tRNA-Pro". It matches the Rfam family "tRNA". From Rfam's summary of the family: Transfer RNA (tRNA) molecules are approximately 80 nucleotides in length. Lineage: Bacteria; Pseudomonadati; Acidobacteriota. RNAcentral also lists the same sequence under 2 other names. The record is from RNAcentral.
CGGGGCGUGGCGCAGUCUGGUAGCGCGCCUGCUUUGGGAGCAGGAAGCCGGGGGUUCGAAUCCCUCCGCCCCGACCA